Molecule: ribosomal RNA, 465 nt
Filed under: uncultured bacterium
Lineage: Bacteria
Description: partial 16S ribosomal RNA
Rfam family: Bacterial small subunit ribosomal RNA
Source: RNAcentral
GACGAACGCUGGCGGCGUGCUUAACACAUGCAAGUCGAACGGUGAACUCCGCUUUCGGGGCGAACAGUUGCGAACGGGUGAGGAACACGUCGUCAACCUGCCCACAGCUCUGGGAUAACGCCAAUAAUAUGGGGCUAUUACCGCGGAUGACCGCUGACUCCAUUGUCUGGGGGCGGGAAGUUUUAUCGGUUGGGGGUGGGGUCGCGGCCUAUCAGAUUGUCGGUGGGGUAGUGGCCUACCAGGCCGAUGAGCGGUAGCAGGGCUGAGAGGGUGACCGGCCCAGCUGCGCUUGAGACACGGCCCAGACUAGUACGCUACGCAGCAGUGGGGAGUAUUGCGUAAUGGGAGGGGGCAUGACGUAGCGACGCAGCGUGGGGGAUGAGAGCAUGCGGGUUGUAAACCUCUUCCCGCAGGGACGAAGUGAAAGUGACGGUACCUGCAGAAGAAGCACCGGCCAACUACGUG